AGGAUAAUUUCUCAAUUUAUUUGUCAUUAAGGUCUUACCCAGAUGAAAUAAAAUGACAAGACCAGAUGGACUCCUGACGAGUGUCUGGAUGUUCAACAUCAAUCACUUUUACACCAACAAAACAUCCUAUUACACAGGGUACUGCAUUGCUUCAGAUAUUCUAACUUUUUGACCAGCGACUUUGGUAUCGGAUCCAUACAUUACACUUUUUCCUGCGGGAAAAAAAAAAAAAUUGUACAACUGCAUAAAUAUAAAACUCUUCCACCAUGAAAAUGACUAAAACAUUCAUUAGAAAGUUACACCACGUCAUGUGAUGUCUCCAGCAACAACAACAAAAAAAAAUGGUUCGUUUUAAAAGCACAGAGUCGCUGUCAGUGUUUCCAUGAAGGAGGAAGGAAGCUAGUCUCCCUGCCUGCUGCUAGAUACACAGAACACUGCUAGCUCUAGACUACAAUAGAGAGGAGGAGGAGAAGCAUUGGACAUAGAGAGAGGAGGAGGAGGAGAAGCAUUGGACAUAUAGAGGAGGAGGAGGAGAAGCAUUGAACAUAGAGAGAGGAGGAGGAGGAGGUGAAGCAUUGGACAUAGAGAGGAGGAGGAGAAGCAUUGGACAUAGAGAGAGGAGGAGGUGAAGCAUUGGACAUAUAGAGGAGGAGGAGGUGAAGCAUUGGAGGAGGAGAAGCAUUGGACAGAGAGGAGGAGGAGAAGUAUUGGACAUAGAGGAGGAGGAGAAGCAUUGGACAUAGAGAGGAGGAGGAGGAGGAGAAGCAUUGGACAUAGAGAGAGGAGGAGGAGAAGCAUUGGACAUAGAGAGAGGAGGAGGCGAAGCAUUGGACAUAGAGAGAGGAGGAGAAGCAUUGGACAUAGAGAGAGGAGGAGAAGUAUUGGACAUAUAGAGGAGGAGGAGGAGGAGAAGCAUUGGACAUAUAGAGAGGAGGAGAAGCAUUGGACAUAGAGAGAGGAGGAGGUGAAGCAUCAAACAAGACAUUUCAUUAAACCCUCUGUCCCAUAUUAAAGUUGAUCCAAAAAGAAAAAAAUAAAGUAAUGUAGAAAUAUUCUCCCACAAUCAACUCAAAAAGACACAGGAAAAAGCAUUCCAGGGAGUGCAGCCAUUUACUGACAGACUUACAGAUCAGAGCGUACCAUGCCAGUAUUUUCAGUUAGUAAGAGUAUAUUAACACAUCCACACACUCACAUUAACACACACACACACACACACCCCUUGGACCACUAAAGCUUACUGACAUAAGACAACAGAAAUUACAACAUGGCUUGGAAAGGACCACUGUAUGUCACUACUGCACUGGAUACUCCAAACGUACAUAGAAAGCACAUUAGGCAGAAUACUUAGGGGACAGACAGAAACACUGCUCGCUACAUAUCAGUAGUGGAAUUGCAAUUUACAGUAAGAGAUGAACAUGUCCCAUGGCUCAAGGACUUCUCAUUUACAGUAGAAUAAAUAUGUUGCAAUUGCUACUCUUCCUGUAAUGUACAUUCUAAACCCUAGACAUUAUGCAGGAAGCCAGUGUAGUGUACAUUCUAAACCCUAGACAUUAUGCAGGAAGCCAGUGUAGUGUACAUUCUAAACCCUAGACAUUAUGCAGGAAGCCAGUGUAGUGUACAUUCUAAACCCUAGACAUUAUGCAGGAAGCCAGUGUAAUGUACACAGAUUAACUGUAGGUCCCCGUAUAUUAUGAAAGUUUGUUCCAAGACUAGUCGUGUUUUUUUUAAUAUAACUUUUUUUUUUUUUUCUUCUCUCUAAAUCAUCUUGUUUUGAAAUGUGGGAAGAUAACAGUGUGUUUUUUUUCAUAGCUGAGGUCAUGAAUUGGCGAUAGUGAACUUAACGUCAAAGCGUCCUUGGUAGCGAUCUUUCUCGCUGUAGUCAAUGUUCGCUCCGUACACUUUGCACUCGAGACGCAGCUCCUCGUUGAAGGUGAGGUUGGUAAACUGGAUGGCCACCAGAGGUUGCAGGUAGUUUGGAUGCAGCAGCUUGCCGU
This 1994-nucleotide long non-coding RNA is filed under the name Salmo salar (Atlantic salmon). Its description in RNAcentral is "lncRNA (ENSSSAG00000090715.1)". The record is from RNAcentral. Lineage: Eukaryota; Metazoa; Chordata; Actinopteri; Salmoniformes; Salmonidae.